Molecule: long non-coding RNA, 652 nt
Organism: Bubalus bubalis (water buffalo)
Lineage: Eukaryota; Metazoa; Chordata; Mammalia; Artiodactyla; Bovidae
Exons: 3
Source: RefSeq, a predicted model, not a curated record
CAACCUGGUUCAGCUCAACAAAGCCUACACCCAGGAAAUUCAGGAGAAAAGCUGCAUUUUCAGGAGUUAAGCGCUGGCAUUGUACUCAUUCUUCAAUGUGACCAGAUUGUGCCUGAGUCUGUAAUGAGAAGGACAGGCUGACAAAGAAGUGAGCUACCAGAGAAGAAGCAACACCCAGAUUGGGACCUGCCUCAGACCUCAGAGGAGUUUGGAUGCAUCUCCUCUGAGGAUGGGAAAAAUCAACCUAUUUCAGGAAGCCUUCCUUGAUUACCACCUGCAUCGUUUGCCUCUGCUCUGCAAGCCCUCAUCAUUCACCGGUUCAGGUUAUUCCUGGAUGUGGCUCUGGCAGCACGUGUUACAGAUUUCCCAGACUGUGAUCAUUCCCAAGGAGAGGCUCUUUGGAAUCUCCCCUAGUUCUCCCUCCAGUAUCUGUACCACCUCAGCCAAUGUCUCUGGGACACGUGUGUGGUGAAGGGGAAGGCAGGAUGCUCUUAGAAUCAUCUACACAGACUUCAGAGAAAUGUUGCUGAGAAGUAGCUUGUAAUAUGGGCUCUCCACGUGGCUCAGUGGUAAAGAAUCCACCUGCACUGCACGAGAUGUGAGUUCGAUCCCUGGGUUGGGAAGAUCCCCUGGAGAAGGAAAUGGCAACCCA